Molecule: ribosomal RNA, 648 nt
Filed under: uncultured Methanosaeta sp.
Lineage: Archaea; Methanobacteriati; Methanobacteriota; Methanomicrobia; Methanotrichales; Methanotrichaceae
Description: bacterial SSU rRNA
Rfam family: Archaeal small subunit ribosomal RNA
Source: RNAcentral
UCUGGUUGAUCCUGCCGGAGGUUACCGCUAUCGAGGUUCGACUAAGCCAUGCGAGUCGAAUGUAGCAAUACAUGGCGUACUGCUCAGUAACACGUGGACAACCUACCCUCCGGACGGGGAUAAACCCGGGAAACUGGGUAUAAUACCCGAUAGAUCUCGACUGCUGGAAUGCAUCGAGAUCGAAAGCUCCGGCGCCAGAGGAUGGGUCUGCGGCCUAUCAGGUAGUAGUGGGUGUAGCGUACCUACUAGCCUACGACGGGUACGGGUUGUGUGAGCAAGAGCCCGGAGAUGGAUUCUGAGACACGAAUCCAGGCCCUACGGGGUGCAGCAGGCGCGAAAACUUUACAAUGCUGGCAACAGCGAUAAGGGGACCUCGAGUGCCAGGUUACAAAUCUGGCUGUCGUGAUGCCUAAAAAGCAUUGCAUAGCAAGGGCCGGGUAAGACCGGUGCCAGCCGCCGCGGUAACACCGGCGGCUCGAGUGGUAACCGUUAUUAUUGGGUCUAAAGGGUCUGUAGCCGGCCGGAUAAGUCUCUUGAGAAAUCCAGCAGCUCAACUGUUGGGCUUUCAGGAGAUACUGUUCGGCUCGAGGCCGGGAGAGGUGAGAGGUACUCAGGGGUAGGGGGAAAUCUUGUAUCUGAAGGACCACC